GACGAACCGUGCUAACGUUAUUCGGAAUCACUGGGCUUAAAGGGCGCGUAGGCGGGCCAUCAAGUCAGGGGUGAAAGCCCCCAGCUCAACUGGGGAAGUGCCUCUGAUACUGGUGGCCUCGAGCGAGGUAGGGGCGUGCGGAACUUCCGGUGGAGCGGUGAAAUGCGUAGAUAUCGGAAGGAACAUCGGUGGCGAAAGCGGCGCGCUGGACCUCUUCUGACGCUGAGGCGCGAAAGCCAGGGGAGCGAACGGG
Molecule: ribosomal RNA, 253 nt
Filed under: uncultured bacterium
Lineage: Bacteria
Description: partial 16S ribosomal RNA
Rfam family: Bacterial small subunit ribosomal RNA
Source: RNAcentral